Molecule: long non-coding RNA, 918 nt
Organism: Oryza brachyantha (malo sina)
Lineage: Eukaryota; Viridiplantae; Streptophyta; Magnoliopsida; Poales; Poaceae
Exons: 2
Source: RefSeq, a predicted model, not a curated record
CAUCUCUAUCUUCUCUUCUUCUUCCUCCUCCUGUCCUCACCCAUGAAAGUUUAUGGGGAAUUGGUGCACCACAAGCUGGUGAAGCUGCCAGCAUGAUCUGAUCGAUCUGAUGAUGAUCUACCACCUCUCUCGAUCUCUCUUUUGUUCUUGAUUGUGUUACAGAUCGAUGGAUCGAUCAGGUCAUGCUGUAGUUUCAUCUGCUGGUUGGGAGCACAUCAAAAACCCUAACUUUAUAGCUGGGUAUGUAUGCAUGGAUUAAUUAACCAGCUAGCUAUAGCUCAUCAAGUUCUUUCAGGAGUUGCCUUGCAGAUGAGAUGAUGGGGGAGUAAUCUUGAUGAACAGAUGGGAUUUCUCAAGGCUUCUACCUGGCAAUUCCAUAAAACAUGUCAACCUUGGAUAUUCUUAACUUGACGCAAUACAUGUCUGUUAGUGAUCAAUAAAUAAAAGUGUAGUAUGUGCUAACUAUUUUCAUCAAUGUGCCUUUGAUUAUUGUGAUCUUGCCAGCAAUAAUGUUAGUGAUGGAAAUAUCACCUGACCAAAAGGGGGGACAUGAUUAACCUUGCUAAUUAAGUAACAAGAAAAGAGUUGGAGGGAGGAAAGAAAUAAAGGAAUAAUGUGUCUUCUUGACCUGAAGACAAGAAGAUUUGUUAAUGGCUGCUUGCUUGCAGGAUAUGCAUGCCUACCACAAACAAGGAGAGUUGGCACUACAACUGAAUGAAUGAUGAUUGCCUCUUGCUUGAAGGAUGAAACUGCUGCCCAUCUUUUCAUGACCCCCCUUUGCAUGCAUUAGUGCCCACACUUUUCUCCUCUUUUGGGCUCUGUACUAUGGAGAUAUUCACUCCAUCCAUGAUCCAUCCAUGCAUGUUCCAUCAUUUGUUGAGAAUUUCUUUGCAGUAUAAUGUAAUGACCUGUUCUGUC